This 423-nucleotide ribosomal RNA is filed under the name uncultured bacterium. RNAcentral describes it as "bacterial SSU rRNA". It matches the Rfam family "Bacterial small subunit ribosomal RNA", at positions 207 to 622 of the family's 1533-position model. The record is from RNAcentral.
AGGACCUUGUGCUUUUGGAGCGGCCGAUGCCUGAUUAGCUAGUUGGUAGGGUAAAGGCUUACCAAGGCUUCGAUCAGUAGCUGGUCUGAGAGGACGACCAGCCACACUGGGACUGAGACACGGCCCAGACUCCUACGGGAGGCAGCAGUGGGGAAUUUUGGACAAUGGGGGAAACCCUGAUCCAGCCAUGCCGCGUGAGUGAAGAAGGCCUUCGGGUUGUAAAGCUCUUUCAGCCGGAACGAAACGGUUACGAUUAAUACCUGUAACUACUGACGGUACCGGAAGAAGAAGCACCGGCUAACUACGUGCCAGCAGCCGCGGUAAUACGUAGGGUGCGAGCGUUAAUCGGAAUUACUGGGCGUAAAGGGUGCGCAGGCGGUUUUGUAAGUCAGAUGUGAAAUCCCCGGGCUUAACCUGGGAACU